CUUUGUUGUAGAAAACAAAAAAGAGAACAAGAACACCACUUGUAUUGGCAGCAACAAUCGAUGCUGGACUCUUGCGUACUGCUGCUGAGAAGAAAAAUGAUGAGGAGAUACUAAUGCAUAUUAGAGACAAAGACUGUGUUGCAUUGGAGGUCCGCUAUCAUGGAAUUUGCUAUAAUAACUACACCAAAUUCAUAACAAAGCCAGUAAAAGAGACAAACACAUGUGCACCAAUCUAUGAAAAGUCAUACAAAGUAUUCUGCAAAGAUGUCAUUGAGUUGGAAGUCAUCAAAGGAAAAGCAAUAAAGUAUAUGAAGGAGUUACUGAGUAAAUUUAUUGUCAUUGGGCUUUCAGCCUCAAGCAACGACUAAUCAAUAGUUACCCUCAACUUGUUUUCUUGAUGCAAAAGUAUAGAACUGUUGGCGAGAUUGUUUAUGCUGAGAACUUGCGUCCAUCUGAUUUUGUUGGGGAACAUAUGUUAAAUAAAUCUAUACAUGAUGAUGAAGACUUUGAUACUAGUUAGUUUUUUGUUACUAGGUACUAGUUUCUUUUAUCUUCAUUAUCGAGACAUCUGUCUUUAUACAUGUAGAUAGGUAAAUCAAUUGAUCUAUGUACAUGUAUAAAGGCAGAUGUCUCGAUAUUGAAGAUACUAUAGUACCUGUUUCGAAAUAUCAAACACAAACCACCUUUCGACUAACUAGUUCCCAACUUGACCUGUACCUCAGUUGGUAGAUCAUCAAACUGGCAACCGAAUGUCGCGGGUUCGAUUCCCAGCCAGCCCAAGUAAAGCUUGGAAAGCACUAAUGGCCAUACAGUGAAUCACCUUUAGUCUGAUACACCUGCCCUACUCUAAUACUAAUUCCAACCCUAACCCUAAAAAGGUUACUCACUGUAUGGCUAUCAGUGUUUUACGUAGAGCUUAUCUCUACUUGUCGAGUAGGGGGGGGCGGGGGGAGGGGCAGGGAGGGACUUUAAUGGGUUAGAAAUGGCUGGGAUGGUGUGAAACAUUGAGCAAUUUCACAUCCAUGAAAUGUCCCAAGUUGUCACCAUUUCUAACCACACCCUUUUUUCCGAAUGGAAAAGCGAUGAAGGCGAGUGUUUGGCGCCUUAAAACCAAAUUGCUCGACAGUCUUCCCAUUGUAAGGGAAGUAUGGUAAGGCUGUCCAUGUUCCGAAUCAGUUUGUCAUGACUUGUGGUAUUAUCUGUUUUCUAGACAUGCUGAUGAGCCCUGAUAUGGGGCGAAACAGUCAUUUUAACAUCUCGGCAUAUAAAAGCAUAAUAAUAUAAUCUCAUAGUCAUACAUCGUGUUAAGCUGGGUUUUUUUCAAACUUUCCCUUUUUUAUGAGUAUGGUUGUCUUGGAAGUAAGAAGUCUCCAUGGUGGAUAGUGGACUGGCGAAAAGGCGUUCCUGAUACUUGGUAAACUAAAGAUGAAUCUGCAUGGAGAAAUGCGCGUUACAGUUUUCAUGAUAAGCAACACAUCACAAAGUUCUAGUCAGCGCGGUUUAAUUACUUUAAUAUAUUGUUUUGUUUUCUCAAGACCUUUUAACAGUUUUGUGAUAUGAUUAAUUGUAAGAAGUUGACAAAGUAAAAAAGUAAUUGUAAAAAUAAUUGUAAAAAUAAUUGAACAUUAUUAACAGUUAUCUGAGCAUUUUAUUAUUUUUGGUAGUUGUGUAUACUUGUUUUAAAAUAUGAUUGCGAGCAUCGUGUAGUGUAUAUAUCAUCC
RNAcentral lists this long non-coding RNA (1721 nucleotides) under Paramuricea clavata. The record is from RNAcentral. Lineage: Eukaryota; Metazoa; Cnidaria; Anthozoa; Malacalcyonacea; Plexauridae.